Non-coding RNA from Mycena vitilis, 94 nucleotides. The record is from the annotation of a GenBank genome assembly. NCBI's taxonomy places the organism in Eukaryota, Fungi, Basidiomycota, Agaricomycetes, Agaricales, Mycenaceae.
UCUUGACUAGUAUAUCGGUUUAGUACACGCGCUUGUCAUGAUGUCAAUCACACCGUGUCCGCGCGAAAGCUGGGUUCGACUCCCAGGUCGAGAG